GGUGUUAUGGCUCAGAGGUAGAGCACUCGCCUCGCAUGUGCAAGGCCUUGCGUUCGAUCCUCAGCACCA
RNAcentral lists this transfer RNA (69 nucleotides) under Marmota monax (woodchuck). Its description in RNAcentral is "tRNA.Ala". The record is from RNAcentral. Lineage: Eukaryota; Metazoa; Chordata; Mammalia; Rodentia; Sciuridae.